CCCUUAGAUGUUCUGGGCCGCACGCGCGCUACACUGACUGGUUCAUCGAGUAUACAACCUUGACUGAUAGGUCUGGGUAAUCUUCUCAAAGCCAGUCGUGCUGGGGAUAGAUUAUUGUAAUUUUUAAUCUUCAACGAGGAAUUCCUAGUAAACGCGAGUCAUCAACUCGCAUUGAUUACGUCCCUGCCCUUUGUACACACCGCCCGUCGCUACUACCGAUUGAACGGUUUAGUGAGGGCCUCGGAUUGGUCUCGGCCCGCUCUUUACCGGGCGGCGCCGUUGGUCGAGAAGACGCUCGAACUUGAUCGUUUAGAGGAAGUAAAAGUCGUAACA
Molecule: ribosomal RNA, 333 nt
Filed under: uncultured eukaryote
Lineage: Eukaryota
Description: partial 18S ribosomal RNA
Rfam family: Eukaryotic small subunit ribosomal RNA
Source: RNAcentral